CUUCGUCACCGAUGACGGCAGCCUAUGGGAGGUGGCGCGGACAUCGGCGAGGACCGGGGACGCCACGAGUGUGCCUCCUUGCCGACCGAUGAGAUCUAAGCAAACCACGGCGGGUGGCCCGGCGAGCGAUCGGCAAGUGGUGGUGCGGACACGACCUCCCCCAGCAGAGCUUCCCAUCAUGGGCCCACCAUCGUCGGUGGCGCGGAUUUGGAUCACGAAGAGAGAGCGACGCAGUUUUAAGUUCUCUCCCACUUCCGACGCAAAAUGGGUGCUCGCAUUGCAUUCUCUCUUGGAGAGUGUUUUUUCACUGUAUAUUAGCCAUUUUAUGUAUGGGUAGACUUUUGUGUUCCUUGUUGGAGACGGUCUUACAAGCAAAGAAAGCAAUAAAAAGGAAAACCGUUGACAAUGGUGUCUGCCUCUUCACUAUUUUUCUAUUCCUAUCAUCAUGUAAUUGCAUAAUUUGUCUGUAAUUUGUGAAACGAAUCUUUUGAGUCUAG
RNAcentral lists this long non-coding RNA (497 nucleotides) under Sorghum bicolor (sorghum). RNAcentral's name for it is "long non-coding RNA (SBIC_LNC007468)". Lineage: Eukaryota; Viridiplantae; Streptophyta; Magnoliopsida; Poales; Poaceae. The record is from RNAcentral.